GGAGAGGUGGCCGAGUGGUUGAAGGCGCACGCUUGGAAAGCGUGUGUGCCCGGAAGGGUACCGAGGGUUCGAAUCCCUCCCUCUCCGCCA
Molecule: transfer RNA, 90 nt
Filed under: bacterium
Lineage: Bacteria
Also listed under: 2 other names
Description: tRNA-Ser
Rfam family: tRNA
About the family: Transfer RNA (tRNA) molecules are approximately 80 nucleotides in length.
Source: RNAcentral